Cinara cedri is the source of this 312-nucleotide non-coding RNA. NCBI's taxonomy places the organism in Eukaryota, Metazoa, Arthropoda, Insecta, Hemiptera, Aphididae. The record is from the annotation of a GenBank genome assembly.
AUGUUCUGUUUAGGUAACAGUUUCACAAUCCAUCACACACAUAUACGUACACUCACACACCUUUUUUUUUUCUUUUUAAUCUCCGUUUGAAUUGAAUCGAACACACAUCCGUCUGGGGAUUUCAAACUUAAUCAAAUAUCAAUCAAUCGCCUUGUAUGCGCGCACGUUAUUAUAAAUAUCACGUGUUCACAUACGUCCCACGAUAAAUCAAUCGAAUAGAGAGUGUCUUGCGGAGAAACGCGUAGGUAAUAUCAACAAAAAGACCCCGACAUUUUCACUCGCAUCACCUGAUCAGAGUUGGGAGGAAGAACG